Non-coding RNA from Fusarium torreyae, 88 nucleotides. Lineage: Eukaryota; Fungi; Ascomycota; Sordariomycetes; Hypocreales; Nectriaceae. The record is from the annotation of a GenBank genome assembly.
CUCUGCAUGGUGUAGUUGGUUCAUCACGCUCGGCUGUAACUGCAAAAUGUCCACCGAAAGGUCCCUAGUUCGAUUCAGGGUGAGGAGA